AAAAUAACCAAAGUCAUCCAGUUCGACAGGGAUGAGUCCUGUAUGAUUGGCUACGGGUUUUCCAUCUCAGUGGUGGAGGAGGAUUCAGUGCAGCAGCUCUACAUUACCGAUGUGAAGGCGGGAGGAUUAGCCUUCGCUAAAGGUCUGAAUGCGGGGGAUGAGAUCUUGCAGCUGAAUGGGAAAGACUCGUGCAAAUUGAAGUUCGGGGACAUGAAGGGGGCGUUUUCCCAGGCCUCUCUGUCCCUGACCGUCAACACU
Molecule: long non-coding RNA, 258 nt
Organism: Oncorhynchus gorbuscha (pink salmon)
Lineage: Eukaryota; Metazoa; Chordata; Actinopteri; Salmoniformes; Salmonidae
Exons: 3
Source: RefSeq, a predicted model, not a curated record